This 465-nucleotide ribosomal RNA is filed under the name Vreelandella stevensii. RNAcentral describes it as "partial 16S ribosomal RNA". It matches the Rfam family "Bacterial small subunit ribosomal RNA", at positions 338 to 795 of the family's 1533-position model. Lineage: Bacteria; Pseudomonadati; Pseudomonadota; Gammaproteobacteria; Oceanospirillales; Halomonadaceae. The record is from RNAcentral.
CCUACGGGGAGCAUCAGUGGGGAAUAUUGGACAAUGGGCGAAAGCCUGAUCCAGCCAUGCCGCGUGUGUGAAGAAGGCCUUCGGGUUGUAAAGCACUUUCAGUGGGGAAGAAAGCCUUGGGGCUAAUACCCUCGAGGAAGGACAUCACCCACAGAAGAAGCACCGGCUAACUCCGUGCCAGCAGCCGCGGUAAUACGGAGGGUGCGAGCGUUAAUCGGAAUUACUGGGCGUAAAGCGCGCGUAGGCGGUCUGAUAAGCCGGUUGUGAAAGCCCCGGGCUCAACCUGGGAACGGCAUCCGGAACUGUCAGGCUAGAGUGCAGGAGAGGAAGGUAGAAUUCCCGGUGUAGCGGUGAAAUGCGUAGAGAUCGGGAGGAAUACCAGUGGCGAAGGCGGCCUUCUGGACUGACACUGACGCUGAGGUGCGAAAGCGUGGGUAGCAAACAGGAUUAGAUACCCGAGUAGUC